RNAcentral lists this ribosomal RNA (301 nucleotides) under uncultured bacterium. RNAcentral's name for it is "partial 16S ribosomal RNA". It matches the Rfam family "Bacterial small subunit ribosomal RNA", at positions 509 to 807 of the family's 1533-position model. The record is from RNAcentral.
CAGCCGCCGCGGUAAUACGGAGGGUGCAAGCGUUAAUCGGAAUUACUGGGCGUAAAGCGUGCGUAGGCGGUUCGUUAAGUCUGUUGUGAAAGCCCCGGGCUCAACCUGGGAAUGGCAAUGGAUACUGGCGAGCUAGAGUGUGUCAGAGGAUGGUGGAAUUCCCGGUGUAGCGGUGAAAUGCGUAGAGAUCGGGAGGAACAUCAGUGGCGAAGGCGGCCAUCUGGGACAACACUGACGCUGAGGCACGAAAGCGUGGGGAGCAAACAGGAUUAGAUACCCCGGUAGUCCCUGUCUCUUAUAC